This 207-nucleotide ribosomal RNA is filed under the name uncultured bacterium. Its description in RNAcentral is "partial 16S ribosomal RNA". It matches the Rfam family "Bacterial small subunit ribosomal RNA", at positions 568 to 774 of the family's 1533-position model. The record is from RNAcentral.
CGCGUAGGCGGCCUGAUAAGUCAGAUGUGAAAGUCCACGGCUCAACCGUGGAAGUGCAUUUGAAACUGUCAGGCUUGAGUAUCGGAGGGGAGUGUGGAAUUCCCGGUGUAGAGGUGAAAUUCGUAGAGAUCGGGAGGAACACCGGUGGCGAAGGCGACACUCUGGACGAAUACUGACGCUGAGGCGCGAAAGUGUGGGGAGCAAACA